CGCUAGUGUGUGGGCGCCAGUCGUACUCCACUCGUGGAGUCAGGGAACCCGGUGAGAUUCCGGGACUGACGCGCAGCGGUGAGGGUGACGGGCGAGGCAACACGCCACUGGAGCGAUGCUCUGGGAAGGUGCCUCGCACCGGUUGAUCCCGAGUCCGAAGACCUGCUGGCACUGGUGACAACCG
Molecule: non-coding RNA, 184 nt
Filed under: Nocardioides panaciterrulae
Lineage: Bacteria; Bacillati; Actinomycetota; Actinomycetes; Propionibacteriales; Nocardioidaceae
Also listed under: 1 other name
Source: RNAcentral